GGGUUGUGAGGUUAAGCGACUAAGCGUACACGGUGGAUGCCCUGGCAGUCAGAGGCGAUGAAGGGCGUGCUAAUCUGCGAUAAGCGCCGGUAAGGUGAUAUGAACCGUUAUAACCGGCGAUACCCGAAUGGGGAAACCCAGUGUGACUCGUCACACUAUCAUUAACUGAAUCCAUAGGUUAAUGAGGCGAACCGGGGGAACUGAAACAUCUAAGUACCCCGAGGAAAAGAAAUCAACCGAGAUUCCCCCAGUAGCGGCGAGCGAACGGGGAGGAGCCCAGAGCCUGAAUCAGCAUGUGUGUUAGUGGAAGCGUCUGGAAAGGCGCGCGAUACAGGGUGACAGCCCCGUACACAAAAGCGCAUGUGCUGUGAGCUCGAUGAGUAGGGCGGGACACGUGGUAUCCUGUCUGAAUAUGGGGGGACCAUCCUCCAAGGCUAAAUACUCCUGACUGACCGAUAGUGAACCAGUACCGUGAGGGAAAGGCGAAAAGAACCCCGGCGAGGGGAGUGAAAAAGAACCUGAAACCGUGUACGUACAAGCAGUGGGAGCCCCACCACUAAGCCAGUGGUGAACUCCACAUACGCAUCCUUUGCUGAGGAUACGGUUAACGGAGCGAAAGCGACGUUCAACCGCAAAAGAAGCAGAGGGGGCUUAGUGGUGGGGUGACUGCGUACCUUUUGUAUAAUGGGUCAGCGACUUAUAUUCUGUAGCAAGGUUAACCGAAUAGGGGAGCCGGAGGGAAACCGAGUCUUAAUUGGGCGUUAAGUUGCAGGGUAUAGACCCGAAACCCGGUGAUCUAGCCAUGGGCAGGUUGAAGGUUGGGUAACACUAACUGGAGGACCGAACCGACUAAUGUUGAAAAAUUAGCGGAUGACCUGUGGCUGGGGGUGAAAGGCCAAUCAAACCGGGAGAUAGCUGGUUCUCCCCGAAAGCUAUUUAGGUAGCGCCUCGUGAAUUCAUCUCCGGGGGUAGAGCACUGUUUCGGCUAGGGGGCCAUCCCGGCUUACCAACCCGAUGCAAACUGCGAAUACCGGAGAAUGUUAUCACGGGAGACACACGGCGGGUGCUAACGUCCGUCGUGAAGAGGGAAACAACCCAGACCGCCAGCUAAGGUCCCAAAGUCAUGGUUAAGUGGGAAACGAUGUGGGAAGGCCCAGACAGCCAGGAUGUUGGCUUAGAAGCAGCCAUCAUUUAAAGAAAGCGUAAUAGCUCACUGGUCGAGUCGGCCUGCGCGGAAGAUGUAACGGGGCUAAACCAUGCACCGAAGCUGCGGCAGCGACGCUGAUGCGUUGUUGGGUAGGGGAGCGUUCUGUAAGCCUGCGAAGGUGGCCUGUGAGGGUUGCUGGAGGUAUCAGAAGUGCGAAUGCUGACAUAAGUAACGAUAAAGCGGGUGAAAAGCCCGCUCGCCGGAAGACCAAGGGUUCCUGUCCAACGUUAAUCGGGGCAGGGUGAGUCGACCCCUAAGGCGAGGCCGAAAGGCGUAGUCGAUGGGAAACGGGUUAAUAUUCCCGUACUUGGUGUUACUGCGAAGGGGGGACGGAGAAGGCUAUGUUGGCCGGGCGACGGUUGUCCCGGUUUAAGCGUGUAGGUGUGUGUUCCAGGUAAAUCCGGUUCACUUUAACACUGAGGCGUGAUGACGAGGCACUACGGUGCUGAAGCAACAAAUGCCCUGCUUCCAGGAAAAGCCUCUAAGCAUCAGGUAACAUCAAAUCGUACCCCAAACCGACACAGGUGGUCAGGUAGAGAAUACCAAGGCGCUUGAGAGAACUCGGGUGAAGGAACUAGGCAAAAUGGUGCCGUAACUUCGGGAGAAGGCACGCUGACACGUAGGUGAAGUGAUUUACUCAUGGAGCUGAAGUCAGUCGAAGAUACCAGCUGGCUGCAACUGUUUAUUAAAAACACAGCACUGUGCAAACACGAAAGUGGACGUAUACGGUGUGACGCCUGCCCGGUGCCGGAAGGUUAAUUGAUGGGGUCAGCGCAAGCGAAGCUCCUGAUCGAAGCCCCGGUAAACGGCGGCCGUAACUAUAACGGUCCUAAGGUAGCGAAAUUCCUUGUCGGGUAAGUUCCGACCUGCACGAAUGGCGUAAUGAUGGCCAGGCUGUCUCCACCCGAGACUCAGUGAAAUUGAACUCGCUGUGAAGAUGCAGUGUACCCGCGGCAAGACGGAAAGACCCCGUGAACCUUUACUAUAGCUUGACACUGAACAUUGAGCCUUGAUGUGUAGGAUAGGUGGGAGGCUUUGAAGUGUGGACGCCAGUCUGCAUGGAGCCGACCUUGAAAUACCACCCUUUAAUGUUUGAUGUUCUAACGUGGACCCGUGAUCCGGGUUGCGGACAGUGUCUGGUGGGUAGUUUGACUGGGGCGGUCUCCUCCUAAAGAGUAACGGAGGAGCACGAAGGUUGGCUAAUCCUGGUCGGACAUCAGGAGGUUAGUGCAAUGGCAUAAGCCAGCUUGACUGCGAGCGUGACGGCGCGAGCAGGUGCGAAAGCAGGUCAUAGUGAUCCGGUGGUUCUGAAUGGAAGGGCCAUCGCUCAACGGAUAAAAGGUACUCCGGGGAUAACAGGCUGAUACCGCCCAAGAGUUCAUAUCGACGGCGGUGUUUGGCACCUCGAUGUCGGCUCAUCACAUCCUGGGGCUGAAGUAGGUCCCAAGGGUAUGGCUGUUCGCCAUUUAAAGUGGUACGCGAGCUGGGUUUAGAACGUCGUGAGACAGUUCGGUCCCUAUCUGCCGUGGGCGCUGGAGAACUGAGGGGGGCUGCUCCUAGUACGAGAGGACCGGAGUGGACGCAUCACUGGUGUUCGGGUUGUCAUGCCAAUGGCACUGCCCGGUAGCUAAAUGCGGAAGAGAUAAGUGCUGAAAGCAUCUAAGCACGAAACUUGCCCCGAG
Molecule: ribosomal RNA, 2889 nt
Filed under: Salmonella enterica subsp. enterica serovar Chester
Lineage: Bacteria; Pseudomonadati; Pseudomonadota; Gammaproteobacteria; Enterobacterales; Enterobacteriaceae
Description: partial 23S ribosomal RNA
Rfam family: Bacterial large subunit ribosomal RNA
Source: RNAcentral